This 1215-nucleotide long non-coding RNA is filed under the name Ficedula albicollis (Collared flycatcher). RNAcentral describes it as "lncRNA (ENSFALG00000027957.1)". Lineage: Eukaryota; Metazoa; Chordata; Aves; Passeriformes; Muscicapidae. The record is from RNAcentral.
AUGUCCUUUUCCUCUGUUCCCAAUCAUUGGUCACAACUAAUGCUAUUAUUGUUGUCUUUUCCUUCAUCUCAGGCAAAGUAUGAUGUACAGAAUCAGUCCUUCCACAGGAGUAGUUGUGGGUCCCAACUGAAAGGACAGACAUUUCCUAGGUACCCUCACUGCUUGAUUCUCCCUCAGUUUUGUCCUCAGAGGAGGAAAAAAAGCCACCUCCAGUCUCCAGGGUGCCAGGGAAUAAUCAAACAGGCUCUGCACAUCUCUCCUUGUGGCUGAAAAAGCCACUCCAAGGGGAAAAGGUAAAAGCACACUGGGCAGCCCAAGUCAGGGGUUGUGCUGUCUGCAGCUAGCAACACCCAUAGCUUAAACCAUCCUGUUCCCUGGCACCAUGGAGCAAAGAGGAGAAGCAAAAAGCCAUCCAUCAGCAUGAGGUGUGGGGAUUUGCUCAGCACCAGUGAGAAGCUGGAAGACUGCCUUGGACAGGUAAACACACACCCUGUUGCUUGUGUGAGCUGCUGCUGUUAGAUGUUAGCACCCAGAAGUGUUUGGGAGGAGAUAUCUGACAAUUGAACCUCCCCCACACAUGCUUCUCCUCAGCUGAGCAAAAACCUCCCCCUUAUAACACAGGAUGGUGUUCGAUUCCCACCUUCCCUGUCAGAAAUCCCUCCUGGUUUUCCUUCCUGGAGUGUGCAUACUGUCCCUGAGCACCAUGGGGAGCACAGACAUUCCCUGGCUGGGUGCUGAGCCCCUGGCUGGAGAGGUGAUGUUCCUUGCAUGCCUUGUUGUGCUGGACACCAGCACGGAGCCCCUGCGCUGCCACACCAGCCACGCUGGCUAAUGGCUGUCACUGAGUUCCCAUUUCCAAAGACAACUCUGCAGGAUUUCUUUUUUUAUUUAACUCGACUGUGCAUUUUCAUGACUGUUGCUCUCAAGUGCGACUGUGCAUCAGGACAUUAAAGAAGAGCUCCUGAAAGUUUUGAUUUUCUACCAUGCAACCUUCUAACUCGUGUGAAAACUGCAUUGGAUUUGACCUUGGUUUGACCUCUAGAUUCUCUGCUCUUUUAAGUAUUGGAUUCAACCUCAAAUCCUGAGUGAAUCUCGCUUGCCUUAUAGGAAGACCACCGAAUGUAGUAAAUUUAAAUAAAAGAUAAAUGUCCACCAACCUUUGGGUGUCUCUGUAUUUGCUUUGUCUUGUCUGUUGUUGAUGUGUAUUAAUUUACA